RNAcentral lists this ribosomal RNA (484 nucleotides) under uncultured bacterium. Its description in RNAcentral is "partial 16S ribosomal RNA". It matches the Rfam family "Bacterial small subunit ribosomal RNA", at positions 30 to 507 of the family's 1533-position model. The record is from RNAcentral.
AUUGAACGCUGGCGGCAGGCCUAACACAUGCAAGUCGAGCGGAUGAAGGGAGCUUGCUCCUGGAUUCAGCGGCGGACGGGUGAGUAAUGCCUAGGAAUCUGCCUGGUAGUGGGGGAUAACGUCCGGAAACGGGCGCUAAUACCGCAUACGUCCUGAGGGAGAAAGUGGGGGAUCUUCGGACCUCACGCUAUCAGAUGAGCCUAGGUCGGAUUAGCUAGUUGGUGGGGUAAAGGCCUACCAAGGCGACGAUCCGUAACUGGUCUGAGAGGAUGAUCAGUCACCCUGGAACUGAGACACGGUCCAGACUCCUACGGGAGGCAGCAGUGUGGAAUAUUGGACAAUGGGCGAAAGCCUGAUCCAGCCAUGCCGCGUGUGUGAAGAAGGUCUUCGGAUUGUAAAACACUUUAAGUUGGGAGGAAGGGCAGUAAGUUAAUACCUUGCUGUUUUGACGUUACCAACAGAAUAAGCCCCGGCUAACUUCGUG